UCGAUUCGAUUUACCUUCGGGUAAUGAGGAUGGCGGACGGGUGAGUAACGCGUAAGGAACUUGCCUCUUGGUCUGGGACAACUGUUGGAAACGACAGCUAAUACCGGAUAUUAUGAGAUUCUCGCAUGGGAAACUUAUGAAAGCUAUAUGCGCCAAGAGAGAGCCUUGCGUUCCAUUAGCUAGUUGGUGGGGUAACGGCCCACCAAGGCGACGAUGGAUAGCCGGCCUGAGAGGGUGAACGGCCACAAGGGGACUGAGACACGGCCCUUACUCCUACGGGAGGCAGCAGUGGGGAAUAUUGGACAAUGGGCCACAAGCCUGAUCCAGCAAUUCUGUGUGCACGAUGAAGGUCUUCGGAUUGUAAAGUGCUUUCAGUUGGGAAGAAGAAAGUGACGGUACCAACAGAAGAAGCGACGGCUAAAUACGUGCCAGCAGCCGCGGUAAUACGUAUGUCGCAAGCGUUAUCCGGAUUUAUUGGGCGUAAAGCGCGUCUAGGCGGAAAAAUAAGUCUGAUGUUAAAAUGCGGGGCUCAACUCCGUAUUGCGUUGGAAACUGUUUUUCUAGAGUACUGGAGAGGUGGGCGGAACUACAAGUGUAGAGGUGAAAUUCGUAGAUAUUUGUAGGAAUGCCGAUGGAGAAGUCAGCUCACUGGACAGAUACUGACGCUGAAGCGCGAAAGCGUGGGGAGCAAACAGGAUUAGAUACCCUGGUAGUCCACGCCGUAAACGAUGAUCACU
RNAcentral lists this ribosomal RNA (737 nucleotides) under uncultured bacterium. RNAcentral's name for it is "bacterial SSU rRNA". It matches the Rfam family "Bacterial small subunit ribosomal RNA", at positions 62 to 817 of the family's 1533-position model. The record is from RNAcentral.